RNAcentral lists this ribosomal RNA (90 nucleotides) under Legionella longbeachae. Lineage: Bacteria; Pseudomonadati; Pseudomonadota; Gammaproteobacteria; Legionellales; Legionellaceae. The record is from RNAcentral.
ACCUGAAUCCAUCUCGAACUCAGAAGUGAAACGAACAUGCGCCAAUGAUAGUGUGAGGCUUCCUCAUGUGAAAGUAGGUCAUCGCCAGGG